UACGAAGGGGGCUAGCGUUGUUCGGAAUCACUGGGCGUAAAGGGCGCGUAGGCGGCUUUAUAAGUCGGGGGGGAAAGCCUGUGGCUCAACCACAGAAUUGCCUUCGAUACUGUAGAGCUUGAGACCGGAAGAGGUAAGUGGAACUGCGAGUGUAGAGGUGAAAUUCGUAGAUAUUCGCAAGAACACCAGUGGCGAAGGCGGCUUACUGGUCCGGUUCUGACGCUGAGGCGCGAAAGCGUGGGGAGCAAACAGG
Molecule: ribosomal RNA, 253 nt
Filed under: uncultured bacterium
Lineage: Bacteria
Description: partial 16S ribosomal RNA
Rfam family: Bacterial small subunit ribosomal RNA
Source: RNAcentral